CCCUCGGGCCUGCAGCGGCCUCCUCAUGGCCGCCGGGGGCUGCAGGCCCGGGGGCCGCUGGGUGACGGAGCGGCCGUUGUCAGUCAGCUCCUGUCAGUCAGCGCCCACCUCAGCCGGGCCCGUGUGAUCAGGCUCUGAGAGGGAAGGCGGGCGGCCUGGGCGGUGGCAGUGAGUCUGCAGCCCCUCUGCCAGCACCGGGGUGGGCAGUGCUUGGAAGAUUUCAUGAGUUCAUUCAGUGUUUUCUGUCUGCUUUAGGAAGACUUAGGCAGGGAGAAAUAAAUUCUUCAUGACAAAGCGCUGUCUGUGCAUCCUCUGAGCUCUGAGCCCUCAGCUGGUGUUUACAUCACUGCCUUUUCCUAGGAGAAUAUCCCUGCAGGAUGUCCUAGAAGUGGAUGAAAACCCGCCUGUUCAUCUGAGGGCCCCGCGGAGCGCGGAGGAGCGCAGGCAGUCCC
This 452-nucleotide long non-coding RNA is filed under the name Calidris pugnax (ruff). RNAcentral's name for it is "lncRNA (ENSCPUG00000009172.1)". The record is from RNAcentral. Lineage: Eukaryota; Metazoa; Chordata; Aves; Charadriiformes; Scolopacidae.